This 1341-nucleotide ribosomal RNA is filed under the name uncultured bacterium. RNAcentral's name for it is "bacterial SSU rRNA". It matches the Rfam family "Bacterial small subunit ribosomal RNA". The record is from RNAcentral.
AAUUCGAUUAGAGUUUGAUCAUGGCUCAGAACGUACGCUGGCGGCACGCCUUAUACAUGCAAGUCGAACGAAGUAGCAAUACUUAGUGGCAGACGGGUGAGUAACAUGUGGGUAUCUUCCCUUUGGUGAGGAAUAACACGAGGAAACUUGUGCUAAUACCUCAUAAGUCUUUACGGAGAAAGCUUUAUGCGCCAAUGGAUGGGCCCGCACUUGAUUAGUUUGUUGGUAGGGUAAUGGCCUACCAAGACUGUGAUCAAUAGCUGAUCUGAGAGGAUGAUCAGCCACAUUGGGACUGAGACACGGCCCAAACUCCUACGGGAGGCAGCAGUAGGGAAUAUUGCACAAUGGAGGAAACUCUGAUGCAGCGAUGCCGCGUGAGUGAAGAAGGCCUUUGGGUUGUAAAGCUCUUUCGUCGGGGAAGAAAAUGACUGUACCCGAAUAAGAAGGUCCGGCUAACUUCGUGCCAGCAGCCGCGGUAAUACGAAGGGACCUAGCGUAGUUCGGAAUUACUGGGCUUAAAGAGUUCGUAGGUGGUUGAAAAAGUUGGUGGUGAAAUCCCAGAGCUUAACUCUGGAACUGCCAUCAAAACUUUUCAGCUAGAGUUUGAUAGAGGAAAGCAGAAUUUCUAGUGUAGAGGUGAAAUUCGUAGAUAUUAGAAAGAAUACCAAUUGCGAAGGCAGCUUUCUGGAUCAUUACUGACACUGAGGAACGAAAGCAUGGGUAGCGAAGAGGAUUAGAUACCCUCGUAGUCCAUGCCGUAAACGAUGUGUGUUAGACGUUGGAAAUUUAUUUUCAGUGUCGCAGCGAAAGCAAUAAACACACCGCCUGGGGAGUACGACCGCAAGGUUAAAACUCAAAUGAAUUGACGGGGACCCGCACAAGUAGUGGAGCAUGUGGUUUAAUUCGAAGAUACGCGCAGAACCUUACCAACACUUGACAUGUUCGUCGCGACUUUAAGAGAUUAAAGUUUUCGGUUCGGCCGGACGAAACACAGGUGCUGCAUGGCUGUCGUCAGCUCGUGUCGUGAGAUGUUGGGUUAAGUCCCGCAACGAGCGCAACCCUCACUUUUAGUUGCCAUCAUUUAGUUGGGCACUCUGAAAGAACUGCCAGUGAUAAGCUGGAGGAAGGUGGGGAUGACGUCAAGUCCUCAUGGCCCUUACGUGUUGGGCUACACACGUGCUACAAUGGUAUCUACAACAGGAAGCAAAACGGCGACGUUAAGCAAAUCCUUAAAAGAUACCUCAGUUCGGAUUGCACUCUGCAACUCGAGUGCAUGAAGCUGGAAUUACUAGUAAUCGUGGAUCAGCGUGCCACGGUGAAUGCGUUCCCGGGUCUUGUAGA